UGAACGCUGGCGGCGUGCUUAACACAUGCAAGUCGAACGAUUAAAGCUCACUUCGGUGAGUGUAUAGAGUGGCGAACGGGUGAGUAACACGUGGGCAACCUGCCCCUCACACUGGGAUAACCAUUGGAAACGAUGGCUAAUACCGGAUACUCCAUUUAGAUCGCAUGGUCUGAUUGGGAAAGCUCCGGCGGUGAGGGAUGGGCCCGCGGCCCAUUAGCUAGUUGGUGAGGUAAUGGCUCACCAAGGCAACGAUGGGUAGCCGGGCUGAGAGGCCGAUCGGCCACACUGGGACUGAGACACGGCCCAGACUCCUACGGGAGGCAGCAGUGGGGAAUUUUGCACAAUGGGCGAAAGCCUGAUGCAGCAACGCCGCGUGCGGGAUGAAGGCUUUCGGGUUGUAAACCGCUUUCAGCAGGGAUGAGAUUGACAGUACCUGCAGAAGAAGCCCCGGCUAAAUAC
RNAcentral lists this ribosomal RNA (459 nucleotides) under uncultured bacterium. Its description in RNAcentral is "bacterial SSU rRNA". It matches the Rfam family "Bacterial small subunit ribosomal RNA", at positions 30 to 504 of the family's 1533-position model. The record is from RNAcentral.